RNAcentral lists this long non-coding RNA (2306 nucleotides) under Coffea arabica (coffee). RNAcentral describes it as "long non-coding RNA (CARA_LNC008341)". The record is from RNAcentral. Lineage: Eukaryota; Viridiplantae; Streptophyta; Magnoliopsida; Gentianales; Rubiaceae.
CAAUGCGAUUGACCCAACUCGAGAUUUUCAAUUGAUGGGCUCCGAAGAUCUCUAAGAUUGACCAGCCAGCUCUUGGACAAUGACAUGAGGUUCUGUCAAGAAAGAAAAGGGGCACGAUCAGGAGAUUGGGCGAGAAAAUCAUUUGGCUCCGAAACUUCUGAGACAGGAGAGGUUGAGUGGGAGGUUGAAGCGCUUAUAUCACAGUAGUAGUAGCACUAUGAUAGGGUCCCACAGCAGCCGUAGCGGCAUUGGCCUUUCUUUCUGUUGGUGCUUGUGUGGUAUGAGAUGCCGGAGAAUGCCUAGGGGAAUUUUGGCUAUAUAGAUAUAGCUCUUGGCUCGGCCUCGGUCUAUUAUGAAAAAAAAGAGAUGGAAAUUUAAGGAAGGCUCAAGUCAAGUGAACGAAAGCCGCUUUCAAGCUCUCGCCUCCCCCCUUGGCUAUAGAAAUGUAAUUAUGGACAGCCCCCUUAUAGUCAGGAAUUCGAGGCAUAGAUUACCUCCGUGGGAUACAUAACAUAAAAACCGGCCGAGGCCUUUACCUUUGGCAUUUCCCAUCCUUUUCAUCCAUAUAGGUGAAGGGCAAAGGAAGCGAAGCGAGUUUACGAGGUUUUACGAGCUUACAGGUCUUUUGUCAGACUUUCCUUCAAGCCAGGCAGUCUCAUUCCAGUUUAUGGCUAUCCAAUUUCUCUUUCUCCCUCAAGUUAUGUUACAUCGCCUUCCAUUCCUUCUCCGGGGACUCCUUCUUAGCUAGAGAUUCAGUAAGGGGCUCUGGCUCUUCUAAUGAAUAGUGCUCUAUCUAGGCAUGUUAGCUUUCUUUUAGGAUAGCAGAUUCGUUUUCACGCCUUUACUUUCCCCUAUCUAAUAAAGAGAGUAUCAGCACUUGUUAUUGCAGUAGUCGUCCCUUCCAGCGAGUGCUCUUUCCCCUUCCCCAGAUCCAGUUACAAUUUGAGUUGCUUUUGGAGAUAGGCCGCAUUCUCCUUCAAUAGCAAUAGCUAAGGCCUUCCUUUUGUGCUAAGGCCGGAAAGUGCCAGUCCUUCUCCAUAUGAGUCAAUAGGGUCCAGAUCAAAUAGGCCAGCCAAUAAGGUAGUAAGAACGGCCGAUAGAGAAUAGAACCAGUUUCUCCUAUUUUAUAGAUUGAUUUCCUUGCCUUACUACCGAGAUAACGUGCCUAAGUAGCAUAACAAUCAAGAAAGGGUUAAGAGUCAUAGCAAGCAGUAAGAAGGUGAAGAACGGGCCCGGGCCUACCCUUAGAUAUGCUUCUAUUCUCCCUAAUAUCAUAUCAUAAAUCGUUCACUUUCUGCUUUUAUAGUCCUGAGCCCUCUCCCUAUGUUCAGUGCCUAAUUUCUUAGUAACCUAUCCCCUUUCCUUUAGUCGAGAAUAGGUUUCAUACGAGUCAGGGCCUUUGGCCUGUUCAUUGGGUCAAAUCUGUCUGACAUCGUCCCUUCUCUUGAUCUCCUUCGGUUAUAUGUAAUUUUUUUUUUAGUCUUCCAAAUCUUUCUAUGGUUCGUAAAGGCACCUUUCCCUUCCCUUGAGGAGCUGGCUGGACUACACUCUUACAGAAUUAGCGGAUUUGUCUCAAAGAGGCUUUCGAGGCCUUGAUGCCUGCUAUCUUCUUAAAGAGGAGGGGAUUAAACGAUUAGAUUAGGCUCCUCGAGACCAAGCGCACUACAGAACUAUCUGACCUUCUACCUCCGUUAGCCACAAGCUCUCCCUUCCCCACAGGGACUGAUUAUUAGUCAAAUAGGGCCCUUGGCUCCUAAGAAAGUUCUGGAUUCUGGCUCAUAAAUCUCUCAACCCACACCUCUUUCUUUGGCGCCGAAGUCGACGACGAAGAAGACAUUUCUAUACAGAUCCUGGUAUUUUCUGAUUGUAGAACAAUCAGGCAUUCCCCCUAAGAAUGAAAGCAAGACGAUUUCUUUACUAAUUCUGUGUAAUGAAUGAAAAUCUGAAUGAGCUUCUUUGAGGUAUCCAGGGGUUUUUGACCUGUUUUUGGAUUGGAAUUCCAUGUUCAACCAAGUCUGAAACUGGAAUAACCGUUCUGUUCUUUCAAUCCCCAAUCCCUUCUUGGCUUUUCUGCUGAGACUGUUCCUAUCCGAGUUUGCUGUAUGAAGCAUAUACCCAUUUACUCACAACAGUUUUCAGGAUGCCACUUCUUCUGAUUCCAGCCAAUUCAUCCUUCUAUGUCGCCCUCUAUCUCAACGAAACAAGGCUUAACUUACAAUGAGUUUUUUGAUCUUCCUCGUCUGCUUUUGCCCAUGUUAAGAUACCUUUGCGAUAGAAGAAACACAAGGAAUAAAGACUCGUGUUCA